This 253-nucleotide ribosomal RNA is filed under the name uncultured bacterium. Its description in RNAcentral is "partial 16S ribosomal RNA". It matches the Rfam family "Bacterial small subunit ribosomal RNA", at positions 524 to 776 of the family's 1533-position model. The record is from RNAcentral.
UCCGGAGGGUGCGAGCGUUGUUCGGAAUCACUGGGCGUAAAGCGCGUGUAGGCGGCCCACUAAGUCUGAUGUGAAAGCCCGGGGCUCACCCCCGGAAGUGCAUUGGAAACUGGUGGACUCGAGUCCCGGAGAGGAGAGUGGAAUUCCUGGUGUAGCGGUGAAAUGCGUAGAUAUCAGGAGGAACACCGGUGGCGAAGGCGGCUCUCUGGACGGUGACUGACGCUGAGACGCGAAAGCGUGGGGAGCAAACAGG